AGCUCAAUGGUAAAGUACCCUGGGAUUCAAUCUCUAGCCUAAAAGGAAAAGAAGAGGAAGGUCGAGGUUUGAUCCCAGAGGUCUUCAAUGUCAGGCCAAGGWCAGGAAACGCUGCUGAGAUAGCUCCAGCAGUCCCCGGGCAGAGCUGGAGGGGUGGAACUGAGGUCCCCUCUCAUGCCCCUUCUCCUGUCCAGGGAGGAGUGCCUACCACCGGCCAGCCAAGCGGAGCAGUGCAGCGCCCUGUCCCCCAGCCUGAGGUGCAGUGCUGCAUCUCUGGUCAGUUGGGAGUCUGAGAUGAAGCACUGUAGCUCGGGAAGGGAGAAGUUGUUCUGCAGCCAUCAUCCUGGAAGCGGUCCUGUACUAUCCCAUUUAACAAUGAAGGAAAGCCAGGGCUCAGAAGUUAAGUGAUUUGCCAGGGGUCAUCGGUGAGGAAAUUGCCAGAGACUGGGAACUCCAUCUGCCCAAUUGAGACUGGGAUCUGGGUUGCCAAAUGUUUCUGAUGGACAUCGUCAGUCUGGGUUUGAUGACAGGGAAGGUACUUUCCAGGGCUCUUGAAGUUCCAGUCACUACUCUUCCCAGAGCAAUGGGCUGCAUCCUGUGAGACAUGGCACCCACACUAGCCGCUGCCGCCAUGGCUGGAUGCGGAAGAAAACCCCAGCUGGCCUGUAGGGACAUGGCAGCCUUGGUUCUGAAGGCCACUCACUCUCUCCCACCUUGUCCUCACGGUCCAGUUUUCCCAGGAAUCCCUUGGAUGCUAAGAUGGGGAUUCCUGGAAAUACUGUUCUUGAGGUCACGGUUUAGCAGCUGGAUUCACCUCCCUCCCACCCUAGCAGUGUCCCGUGGGAUGAGGGUCAAGGAGAAGGUCAUGCACUGGAGGUAAGAGGGCUUGUGAACUAUGUUCUUGACCUUUAAGUUGCUUUUCUUUCCACUGUGUCCAUUUCGUAACAUCCCUGUGAGGCUGGAUGUGGGAACUUCAGCAUUGUCGCACUCUGGAGAAGCUUGUUCCAAGUCACACAGCCGAGCAGUGGUUGAACCAGGACACCAGGAGGCAUGAGUUCUUCCCCAUCCCUCCCCACCCUCCCCCACUUCCCUGCAGGGCUUGCGAUAGGAACGACAGUAUCGUAUCCACGUUACUGAGAAACUAAUACAUGCACGUGAAUUUAUUUUAAAAGUUUAUUAAAUCAGUUAGGUAAACUGCAAACCAUAAGGCUUAAUUUCAUUUGGAAAGCAGCCACAGAAAAAUGGAAAAAAAAAAUUUAAUUAGAGAAAACAAGACUCAGGACGCCCUCUUGUGGUGCUUCUACUCACUGCAGUGCCCUGAGACCAUCCUACACACCCUACCACUAAAGCUACUUCCUCAGCCCUUUUCUUCUAAAAUUUUGAGAGAGUCUUGCUAAUUCUCAGAGUCUGGCCUAGAGCUUGUGCCUCAGCCUCCUGAGUAGCUGGGUUAUAGGCAUCACCACCAUGCGCAGCCCUAAUCAGUUGAGCCACUUAUAUCUUAUUUACCACUUUGCUACCUACCAAGCAGCCAUCAUUUACAGUUCACUUUUUAUUCCAAUGCCCAGUUUCAUCCUCAAAGUUCCACUAAGGUUAGUAGGGUCAGUGAGGUUGAGAGGUAAAGUGACCAGSCCAAGGUCACCCAGACAGCCAGAGGCAGAGAAAGCACAGAUUUCAAGUUCUGUGGCCUCUGUCACUGUUUYAGCCAAAGCAAAAACUACAAAACUAAAAGAGACUGCCUCCCCCACUACRUAGAGGGAAUGCUAACUAAAUAAAUGCCCAAAUCCUAAACUAGAACUUUCCCCAAACUCUUUCUAGUGCUUUUUAUGGAUUUGGUAGAGAUAACUGUCAUGGCCCCAGAAAUCUCAUUUUGGGGUCUGAUGGCCACAUUCCCAGGGACCAGGUUGUUCCCACAAAUGUCCCAGGCUGUGUUCCUAACAGGCUAUGUUGUAGAUCUUUAGGAAAUAAGACUCAUACAUGGAGACUGGGGCAGCCUGACCAUAGGAAUAUCAGAUUUGCUAGUAAAAAUAGCAAUAAUGGCUUCCCCUUUUGACUGUUCAUAACUCACCAGGGACUGAGCCGAACAUGUGUGCAAGCCUGGUCUCAGUUCUCCCGGCAGCCCACUGAAGUCAGUUCUACUACUUAAUUCAUAGACAAAGAGAUCCAAGGCUGAGAAAGGUCGAGAGAUUUAGCAGAGACCACCCAUGGUGAAGCUGGCAUCAAAUCAAGUCUGUGUUUCUGCUUUUAACCAUGACAUGUGGUCCCCCAUCCCCACUUGUCCUGGUUGGUGGGGCUCUGUGCUGGGGAGGCUUACCCUUUGCUGAAACCCAAGUGACCUCUCCUGUGCUAUGUGGCUGUAAUAAAGUGCUGAACUCUU
Molecule: long non-coding RNA, 2374 nt
Organism: Urocitellus parryii (Arctic ground squirrel)
Lineage: Eukaryota; Metazoa; Chordata; Mammalia; Rodentia; Sciuridae
Source: RefSeq, a predicted model, not a curated record